RNAcentral lists this ribosomal RNA (460 nucleotides) under uncultured bacterium. RNAcentral's name for it is "partial 16S ribosomal RNA". It matches the Rfam family "Bacterial small subunit ribosomal RNA", at positions 338 to 795 of the family's 1533-position model. The record is from RNAcentral.
CCUACGGGGGGCAGCAGUGAGGAAUAUUGGUCAAUGGGCGGGAGCCUGAACCAGCCAAGUCGCGUGAGGGAAGACGGUCCUAUGGAUUGUAAACCUCUUUAGGCGGGGAGCAAUGCCGGGCACGUGUGCCCGGAGGGAGAGUACCCGCAGAAUAAGCAUCGGCUAACUCCGUGCCAGCAGCCGCGGUAAUACGGAGGAUGCGAGCGUUAUCCGGAUUUAUUGGGUUUAAAGGGUGCGUAGGCGGAUUUUUAAGUCAGCGGUAAAAUGUCCGGGCUCAACCCGGGCCGGCCGUUGAAACUGGGGAGCUUGAGUGGGCGAGAAGUAUGCGGAAUGCGUGGUGUAGCGGUGAAAUGCAUAGAUAUCACGCAGAACUCCGAUUGCGAAGGCAGCAUACCGGCGCCCGACUGACGCUGAGGCACGAAAGCGUGGGGAGCAAACAGGAUUAGAUACCCCAGUAGUC